UAAGCGGAGGAAAAGAAACUAACAAGGAUUCCCCUAGUAACGGCGAGUGAAGCGGGAAGAGCUCAAAUUUGAAAGCUGGCACCUUCGGUGUCCGCGUUGUAAUCUCGAGAAGUGUUUUCCGUGCUGGACCAUGUACAAGUUCCUUGGAAUAGGACGUCAUAGAGGGUGAAAAUCCCGUACUUGACAUGGACGCCCAGUGCUUUGUGAUACACUCUCCACGAGUCGAGUUGUUUGGGAAUGCAGCUCAAAAUGGGUGGUAAAUUCCAUCUAAAGCUAAAUAUUGGGGAGAGACCGAUAGCGAACAAGUACCGUGAGGGAAAGAUGAAAAGCACUUUGGAAAGAGAGUUAAACAGUACGUGAAAUUGUCGAAAGGGAAGCGCUUGAAGUUAGACAUGCUUGUCGGGAUUCAGCCUUGCUUUUGCUUGGUGUAUUUCCCGGUGUGCAGGCCAGCAUCAGUUUUGUUUGCCGGAUAAGGGUGAGAGGAAUGUGGCCCCUUGGGGUGUUAUAGCCUCUCACUGGAUACGGCGGAUGGGACUGAGGACCGCAGUGUGCCUUUAUGGCGGGCCUUCGGGCACCUUCACACUUAGGAUGCUGGCGUAAU
This 601-nucleotide ribosomal RNA is filed under the name Quambalaria pitereka. RNAcentral describes it as "eukaryotic LSU rRNA". It matches the Rfam family "Eukaryotic large subunit ribosomal RNA", at positions 47 to 635 of the family's 3401-position model. The record is from RNAcentral. Lineage: Eukaryota; Fungi; Basidiomycota; Exobasidiomycetes; Microstromatales; Quambalariaceae.